ACGGGUGAGUAAUGUAUAGGAAUCUACCUAGUAGUACGGAAUAAUUGUUGGAAACGGCAACUAAUACCGUAUACGCCCUACGGGGGAAAAAUUUAUUGCUAUUAGAUGAGCCUAUAUUAGAUUAGUUAGUUGGUGAGGUAAAGGCUUACCAAGACAAUGAUCUAUAGCUGAUCUGAGAGGAUGAUCAGCCACACUGGAACUGAGAUACGGUCCAGACUCCUACGGGAGGCAGCAGUGGGGAAUAUUGGACAAUGGGCGAAAGCCUGAUCCAGCCAUGCCGCAUGAGUGAAGAAGGCCUUCGGGUUGUAAAGCUCUUUUAGUGAGGAAGAUAAUGACGGUACUCACAGAAGAAGUCCUGGCUAACUCCGUGCCAGCAGCCGCGGUAAUACGGAGAGGGCUAGCGUUAUUCGGAAUCAUUGGGCGUAAAGGGCGCGUAGGCGGGUUAGUAAGUUAAAAGUGAAAUCCCAAGGCUCAACCUUGGAACUGCUUUUAAAACUGCUAGUCUAGAGAUUGANAGAGGAUAGAGGAAUUCCUAGUGUAGAGAUGAAAUUCGUAAAUAUUANGAGGAACACCAGUGGCGAAGGCGUCUAUCUGGUUCAAAUCUGACGCUGAGGCGCGAAG
This 621-nucleotide ribosomal RNA is filed under the name uncultured Hyphomicrobiales bacterium. RNAcentral describes it as "bacterial SSU rRNA". It matches the Rfam family "Bacterial small subunit ribosomal RNA", at positions 102 to 758 of the family's 1533-position model. The record is from RNAcentral. Lineage: Bacteria; Pseudomonadati; Pseudomonadota; Alphaproteobacteria; Hyphomicrobiales.